RNAcentral lists this ribosomal RNA (452 nucleotides) under uncultured bacterium. RNAcentral describes it as "bacterial SSU rRNA". It matches the Rfam family "Bacterial small subunit ribosomal RNA", at positions 96 to 524 of the family's 1533-position model. The record is from RNAcentral.
UGGCGGACGGGUGAGUAACGCGUAGGAAACCUGCCUUCGAGAUGGGAAUAACACUCCUAACGGAGUGCUAAUACCGAAUGACACUGCGAUGUCGCAUGGCAAUGCAGUCAAAGGUGGCCUCUGUUUACAAGCUACCGCUCGAAGAUGGUCCUGCGUCCCAUUAGCUAGUUGGUGGGGUAACGGCCUACCAAGGCUACGAUGGGUAGCCGAUCUGAGAGGAUGACCGGCCACACUGGGACUGAGAUACGGCCCAGACUCCUACGGGAGGCAGCAGUCGAGAGGCUUCGGCAAUGGGGGAAACCCUGACCGAGCGACGCCGCGUGGAGGAUGAAGGCCUUUGGGUUGUAAACUCCUGUCAUGCGGGAAGAAACGCCACCGCACGAAUAGCGCGGUGGUUUGACGGUACCACAAGAGGAAGCUCCGGCUAACUCCGUGCCAGCAGCCGCGGUAAU